GGAGGUAUCGCCUAGUGGCCUAUGGCGCUCGCUUGGAAAGCGGGUUGGGUUAAUAGCCCUCCGGGGUUCGAAUCCCCGUACCUCCGCCA
This 89-nucleotide transfer RNA is filed under the name Myxococcales bacterium. RNAcentral's name for it is "tRNA-Ser". It matches the Rfam family "tRNA". Rfam says of the family: Transfer RNA (tRNA) molecules are approximately 80 nucleotides in length. Their secondary structure includes four short double-helical elements and three loops (D, anti-codon, and T loops). Lineage: Bacteria; Pseudomonadati; Myxococcota; Myxococcia; Myxococcales. The record is from RNAcentral.